This 155-nucleotide unclassified non-coding RNA is filed under the name soil metagenome. RNAcentral describes it as "partial internal transcribed spacer 1". The record is from RNAcentral.
CCGAGUUUACAACUCCCAAACCCCUGUGAACAUACCUAUACUGUUGCCUCGGCGGAUCAGCCCGCUCCCCGGUGUAAAACGGGACGGCCCGCCCGAGGACCCCUAAACUCUGUUUCUAUAGUGGAACUUCUGAGUAAAACAAACAUAAUAAAUCA